CUUGAAGAUAACGAGCAGAAGAAUCCAUCCGACGCCUCUAAUCUGCCCCCACGAAUUUGCCUCAUCUGCGGGGAAAGAUGCCAUCUUGCAAUCAAAAUCAGAUCAAACAGAUCAGAAAAAGGGAGGAGAAGCGCAGGGAUAUGCACGUCGUUAGGAGGGCGACCGUCCACCGGACUCCGGUGAACUCGAGGGAGCUGUAGCGCGAGGGAAAGAGGCCAAUGGGUUACGGGUUUUGUCACGAGACCAGAAUUAUAACCACUAGCUGUUGAACCGGGCAGCCCGAACCGACCAACCAAGGCGACGAACCCGGUUCGAUCCGAACAGUUUAAGGAAUUCGAUAAAACCCUCGAAUCACUAAAACAAAACCUCACCGUCAGAUUCCAAGAUAGCCCUCCGCAUCCACCCAAAACACCCCAUUGCCUGAGGUCCUCUUCUUCGUUCCAACGAAGAUGCGUCUUGAGAUCUUAGCUCCACUUCAGUUGGAGCAUUUCGAUCUAAGAGCCAAAGUGCAAAAAAUCUUGAUUCUUAAGUGAAGUACAACUCAGUCGCAGAGGUUGGGGGAUUUUAAGCUGCCUCACAUCUUCAAUUAUCAACCCUACUUCACGUAAUCUCCCAAACCACUAACUUCUCUAAGAUUUUCAAUUUGUUUCUGUUGAUUAGGAACAGAAAAUGGUAAUGAUCACAAUCUGCUUCCAACCUAAAUUUAUGAGUUGGAAUUUUGUAUGGUUCUUGUGUUGAGCAUGUGUUGAUUAGGAAAGAAAUCACUCAUCUCAGUGACACCUCUCACUUCUGCUUCGGCCAAAUAAGAAAUAAACUGACAUGUUUAUUUUGAUUUAUCAAAAAAAGUUAUGGUUGUUGACUAUUUUUAUGAUUGUUGUGGUGGACACAAGUUGAUGGCUGCACUACAAUCUGUAGGCUCCUUCACUUCUAAUUUACACUUUGGGAAUAAUAAGUACAUUUGUAGGGUAAUAAUCUCAGUUUCCUGUGUAUGAGCAUAACCAGCAUAACAUACCAACUGUUAUUGGGGUUGUGCUCCUGAGCUUUGCUGGGAAGUUUUAGGAUGAAACAUUCCCAAUCAGGGGUUAAUAUGAUCGAAAAAUGACUUGAACCAGUUUCCGAUUUCGGCAAUAUGAAGAAAGUACCAUGAUGAUGGUAUUAGGAGAAAAAAAGAUAGUGAAGAGAAAGGAUGGAGUAGAAAAGAUUAGAGAAGGAUUAAUGGGGAAGGCAGAAGCUAGCUGCUCUUUUUCCAAUGACAAAUUAAAAACCAGUUGCAGGGCUUAUUUUUUGUAUCGAAUGAGUCUCUUAUUGAUAAAGGUUCAAUCUGCAAUCCACUUCUUAAUUUUGUUAGAACUCCAAAAUAAAGCGAAAAAUGAAAAGCUACCUUUGAUUACCAAACAUAAUUGAAGCUUAACACUUGACCAGGAUGCCCAAGAUGACCCUACAGAGUACUGGUAUCACACUGGUACCGGCACCAUAUCAAGAAUUGAGACCUUGACCAUGCAUUCAAGAUUUAUGCUGUUCUUAAUCAUAUAAAAUGUCUUCACUCUACAGAAGUUGAAUAAAGCAUCUUAUCUUACCUUAUGCUCUUUUUAGUCCGCGGCCAGUAUCGGAAACACAUGAGUAGCAAGUGCAACUAUGGAAGGAGCCGAUUCUUCACUACGGCAAACGUCAAAAGAUAUUUGUCACUGGACUGGAAGAAGAUUGCCCCCUCUUUUCUAGUCCAGACAUUGGGAGUCAGUAAUAUGUUAUAAAUUGUUACAUAAUGAAAUCUGCAUAGCAGGAAAUGACAAUAGAAAAUUGAACAUGUUCAUUUUAACUGCAAGAUGCACAACUUUUGACUCUUUUUCAUAAUGCAUUUGUUAGAUUUAGCAUCACCGGUCUGUUGCCCAAAAUUCUCCACAGAAUAUAUGGUCUCUGUUGACUGCCAUGUUGAUUGCACGCCUUUCUUUUAGGAUCUUUCGUGUGGUUUGCAGGAUCUUUAUGCCAUGAGGUGAGACAAGGUAAUCUUGCGUCUCUUGUUAAUGAAGGACCUGCAGAAUGGAUGGACAAAAGUCACAAGAAACGCUUCAUUCUUUGGCCAAGAAUUCAAGAUUGGGCUGAUCAUAACUUGAAUUUUGUGCAUAAAGUCUUGAAGGUGGACACAACCGUGCCACUCUUGUUGCUGCCUUCUCUGUAAAUAAGUGAAUAUGUUAAAACUUUGUUCGUUCGUUUACGAACUUGGAUGAUCUAAGAUUAGUGUUUGAAAGAUUUUUAUUAGCUGAACUGAAUUUGUAACCUUGGAAUGUAAGGUAGAAGGUUGACAAAUCAUUUUGUCAAGAUAUGCGAAGCCCAUUUGCUUUA
Molecule: long non-coding RNA, 2340 nt
Organism: Musa acuminata AAA Group (dessert banana)
Lineage: Eukaryota; Viridiplantae; Streptophyta; Magnoliopsida; Zingiberales; Musaceae
Exons: 3
Source: RefSeq, a predicted model, not a curated record